Non-coding RNA from Manis javanica (Malayan pangolin), 3115 nucleotides. The record is from RefSeq and is a predicted model, not a curated record. NCBI's taxonomy places the organism in Eukaryota, Metazoa, Chordata, Mammalia, Pholidota, Manidae.
CUGUGACAAAACUCUACGCUCAGGUCAGAGAUACUACAGUGGAGGUGGUGAAGUCCUGAAGUGAGGCAGAAGUUGAUAAAACACUCUUCCAGUCCAAAACACACGACGGCCGUCUCCCGUGGGGGUGGCACCGACCUCACCAGGCUGGGGGAGCUAGGGGGCUUCAGGUUCCACCCACAGCCUCAAAUCUGGAACUCUCCUUUGUGCUCAGGCCCGGUAGCUUCCUCGAGAAUCCAUGCUUUCUAAUGUUUUUAAAUGCCCCCCAGGAGACCCUGGGGUCCCUCCCUGCACCCCGGCUUCUGCUGGCCAUCCUGCUGCAAGGAGCAGAAACUCCGCUGGUGGAAUCGUCCAUCUCACAGAUGCGCAAACCGGAGGUGGGCAGGGCCGUUUCAGGUCCACAGCUCGGAGACAUAUUGAAGUAGAUUUGGUCAGCAAACAGCUGCCGGCCUCUUCCUGAGCUCCCCGGUUACUGUGGCCCCUUCAGCCCGGGCCCAGAAUAAACACACGUGGAACAGACCAGAGGCACCCCGUGCCCAGCCUGAAGCAGAGUGUCCCAGGCCUGGCCUGAGCUGUGCACGUGAGAAGGAAUGCCUGCUGUCAGUCACUGGUUCGGGAGCACUGUUUCAGGAUGUUAUCGUAGCAAUAGUGACCGCUACAGGUGCUCUUGGGCACUCAGCUUGUCCUCACGCCUGUCCCCUCAGGUCUCUGGCUGCCACAGAGCCAGACGCAUGUCUUCACACAGCCACUUGGAGAGGCAGGAGAAGGGGACAGCUUCUCUCCGUGUAGCUUUCUGUUUUUGGUCACAGGGGACACCUCUCCCCAGAAACCUCUUCCCCCAUAGACAUCUCUCAUCUCACGGGCAGAGCUGUGUCUCAGGCCUGUUUGUCAUCCAUGCCCUCACUGAUCACUGGCAAGAGAGAUGGAGUCACUGUGACUGGCUCACGUUAGUGAACAUUUCCUCCCUCCCUGAGGUGGGGAAAGGCCACCAGGAAUCAGAGGGGGGCCCAGUGGUCCACCAGAAUGUGGGUUCCAUUAGCAGGGAAGUAAGUGAGCCACGGCAAUUGAGUGAGAAACCACAGGGUUGGCCACGGACUCCCACAGCCCCAGGAAGCUGACAACCAAAUGCAAUUUCAUAAUGUAUAUGUCACGUGCAUACGUGCCAUGAUUACACUGUGAUUCUUACUCUGUGAUUCCAGUGGGUCUUCUCUGAGUUUGUGAUCUUAAGGCAGUGGUGGAUGGCCAGAUUUUUAAUAGCUGAACCAUUUUUAAAACAAAGAUUUCCAGCAGAACUCCAACCUAUAAGACAAAGAAAUCCUCUGGCUCAUGGGGAAUAUGCAUGUGUGGGCAUGCGGGGCGGGGGAGGAGGAUGGUGGGGAGCUCCAAGCCCCGUUUGCUCAGCCUGCUUCAUCUCUCCCUCCCACCCAGGUCCCCCAAGAUAUGGUCAAAGAGCCCGGGAUUCCACCAAAGCCAGUUAGGAAACCAUUGUAUAAAGAAACAGAACUUACAUUUAUUGAGUAUCUACUAUAUUCUAGGCAAUUGUUCAUGCAUGUGGGCCUUUAAUCUGACAGUAUCCUUUAUGCCUAUUUUAAAAAGAAAUGAAAUAAUUGCCUAAGGUCAUACAAUAAGCCAGCUGGGCCAAGAUUAGAAACCAGAUGUUUGCCUCCAAAACCAGUGUUUGGUCUCAGAUCCAGAGCAUUGCCCCAUUCCCUACCCUCCCAGCCCAGUUGAGGGGUAUUUCUAAACAGUGCCUCUGGCCUCUGUCUGUCAGUGUCUGGAAAGAGCGGCUACUCUGGAGUCACAUAGUGACGUUUGGAGAGGCCUGGGUUUGAGUUCUGGCUGUGCCUUUCAUUUGCUGUGUGGCGUUGGGCAAGUCUCUUGACCUUUCUGGGUUUCAGUUUCCUCAGCUACAAAAUGAGAUGUUAGGCCCUCACGGCUUUGAUAUGCUAGGACCUAAAUUUAGCACACCUCACUGGCCUGGAUUGACACCUGCUGGGUGAAUCUUCCACAUCAAUGAGACAGAAACAGCACAGAGGGCCUGGGCCUCCGAAAGAGGAAGUGGAACUGAGCCCUCUGCAUCCCCACCCACCCCUGCACGCUGCCACCAUCUGACCUGAUUACACCCAGCUGGAGGGGCCUGCCAGUGACUCAGCCCCUCGGCCUAUCUGAUUGUCAGAGUUGAUUCCUAGAAGUUGAAAGUCACUUCUCUCUGUAGCCAUCACCACCACCUCCCACCACGAGGGCUUUCAUGUCAGUUAACCUCAGCCAAACAACUCUGCGAUCCUUGGAGUUCCCGUUGCACCCAUCUCGUCUCUCAAAGGCUAGAGCCACUGGAUGAACCAGCGCAGUCCCUUCCACCGGCACCUCUUCCCAAUCCAAUCAGAUGCAUUCCAGUCCUGGAAGUGUUAACAACCCGGUGCUUGGGCCUCUGAUUACCAACACAACAGGGUGGAGAGGAAGCACUCAGGCAGACAUCACAGGUGCUCAAACAGAAGCCACCAGCAUGUACGGGACAAGCAGGUUCCAUGGGAAUAUGGGUGGGGCACCCACCGAGGCUGCUGCAAUGGGUCUGUUGACAAUACAUGCUAUACAUGCAUUGAAAUCAUUGUCCAGAAUAAAAAUAUCUGCCUCACUGAGAGCAUCCUGUGUUAAAGCACAUUACAUGCUAUUAACUCAUUUCAUCUCCAUAAUAACACUGUUAGGUGACUACUAGGAGGAUCCCCAUUUUAUAGAUGAGUAAACUGAAGCAGAGAUAUUAAACCACUUUCCCAAGAUCCCACAGCUAGUAAAUCACUAUAUGUCAAACUCCGCAGGGACUGUAAUUGUGCCUGAUUUUGUCCAAUAGUGUUUAUGUUAAGAUACUUAAUAUAUUCAGUGAAUGAAGAAUUAACUUCAUAUCUGUGUGCAGUGAAUUAUUUGAGGGCAGGAAUUGAAUUUUUUGGCCUCAGUAGUCAGAGCAUCUAGCCUAUAGUUGACACUCAAUGGGAACUUACUGGAAAAAUGAGUGAAUGAUUUAGGAAAGACCAAGAACUAGAAGUUUCUUCCUCAGCCAGAGAUAACUGUGUGACCUUGGAUAAGUCUCCUCCCUGGCAUGGCCUCAGUUUCUCACUCUGUAAAC